This 467-nucleotide ribosomal RNA is filed under the name uncultured bacterium. RNAcentral describes it as "partial 16S ribosomal RNA". It matches the Rfam family "Bacterial small subunit ribosomal RNA", at positions 28 to 507 of the family's 1533-position model. The record is from RNAcentral.
GACGAACGCUGGCGGCGUGCUUAACACAUGCAAGUCGAACGGAAAGGCCCUGCUUUUGUGGGGUGCUCGAGUGGCGAACGGGUGAGUAACACGUGAGUAACCUGCCCUUGACUUUGGGAUAACUUCAGGAAACUGGGGCUAAUACCGGAUAGGAGCUCCUGCUGCAUGGUGGGGGUUGGAAAGUUUCGGCGGUUGGGGAUGGACUCGCGGCUUAUCAGCUUGUUGGUGGGGUAGUGGCUUACCAAGGCUUUGACGGGUAGCCGGCCUGAGAGGGUGACCGGCCACAUUGGGACGGAGAUACGGCCCAGACUGCUACGGGAGGCAGGAGUGGGGAUAUUGCACAAUGGGCGGAAGCCUGAUGCAGCAACGCCGCGUGCGGGAUGACGGCCUUCGGGUUGUAAACCGCUUUCGCCUGUGACGAAGCGUGAGUGACGGUAAUGGGUAAAGAAGCACCGGCUAACUACGUG